GCUAUCUGUCACUUGGGGAUGGGCCUGCGGCGCNAUNAGCUAGUUGGUGGGGUANCUGGCCCACCAGNGGCGACGAUGCGUAGCCGACCUGAGAGGGUGAACGGCCACACUGGGACUGAGACACGGCCCAGACUCCUACGGGAGGCAGCAGUAGNGGAAUCUUCCGCGAUGGGCGAAAGCCUGACGGAGCAACGCCGCGUGAGUGAUGAAGGUUUUCGGAUCGUAAAGCUCUGUUGCCAAGGAAGAACGUCUCAUAGAGUAACUGCUAUGAAAGUGACGGUACUUGANAAGAAAGCCCCGGCUAACUACGUGCCAGCAGCCGCGGUAAUACGUAGGGGGCAAGCGUUGUCCGGAAUCAUUGGGCGUAAAGCGCGC
This 375-nucleotide ribosomal RNA is filed under the name uncultured bacterium. RNAcentral's name for it is "bacterial SSU rRNA". It matches the Rfam family "Bacterial small subunit ribosomal RNA", at positions 207 to 570 of the family's 1533-position model. The record is from RNAcentral.